RNAcentral lists this ribosomal RNA (1388 nucleotides) under uncultured organism. RNAcentral's name for it is "16S ribosomal RNA". It matches the Rfam family "Bacterial small subunit ribosomal RNA". The record is from RNAcentral.
GGAUGAACGCUGGCGGCAUGCUUUACACAUGCAAGUUGAACGAAUUAAAGUUUUCGAAUUUUAGUUAAGUAGCGAACGGGUGAGUAAAACGUAAGAAUCUAUUUUUAGGUGAGGAAUAACUAAUGGAAACGUUAGCUAAUACCUUAUAAACUGAGAAGUGAAAAACCAAAGAUUGCCUAAAAGUGAGCUUGCGCCUGAUUAGCUUGUUGGUAAGAUAAUCGCUUACCAAAGCGACGAUCAGUAGUUGAUCCAAGAGGAUAAUCAACCACACUGGGACUGAGAUACGGCCCAGACCUCUACGGAGGGCAGCAGUGAGGAAUUUUCCGCAAUGGGCGAAAGCCUGACGGAGCAAUGCCGCGUGAAGGAUGAAGGCCUAUGGGUCGUAAACUUCUUUUCUUAAUGAAGAAAUAAGACGGUAAUUAAGGAAUAAGCAUCGGCUAACUCCGUGCCAGCAGCCGCGGUAAUACGGAGGAUGCAAGCGUUAUCCGGAAUUAUUGGGCGUAAAGGGUUUGUAGGCUACUUUUUAAGUCUGCUGUUAAAGAAUAAGACUUAACCUUAGAAAAGCAGUAUGAAACUAAAAGGAUAGAGUUCAGUAGGGGUAGAGGGAAUUCUCGGUGUAGUAGUGAAAUGCGUAGAUAUCGAGAGGAACACCAAUAGCGAAAGCACUCUACUAGGCUGUAACUGACGCUAAGAAACGAAAGCUAGGGGAGCCAAUGGGAUUAGAUACCCCAGUAGUCCUAGCUGUAAACGAUGGAUACUAAGUAUUGGAUAAUAAAAAAUUCAGUGCUGUAGCUAACGCGUUAAGUAUCCCGCCUGGGGAGUAUGCCCGCAAGGGUGAAACUCAAAGGAAUUGACGGGGGCCCGCACAAGCGGUGGAGCAUGUGGUUUAAUUCGAUGCAACGCGAAAAACCUUACCAGGAUUUGACAUCCCAUAUUUUUUUUCUAGAAAUAGAAGAAUUGACGUGGAGACAGGUGGUGCAUGGCUGUCGUCAGCUCGUGUCGUGAGAUGUUGGGUUAAGUCCCGUAACGAGCGCAACCCUUGUCUUUAGUUCGAUAGUCUAAAGAAACUGCCGAUAAUAAAUCGGAGGAAGGUGAGGAUGACGUCAAGUCAGCAUGCCCCUUAUAUUCUGGGCGACACACGUGCUACAAUGGUUAAGACAAUGGGAUGCAAACUUGUAAAAGGAAGCUAACCUCAAAAACUUAAUCGAAGUUCGGAUUGUCGACUGAAACUCGUCGACAUGAAGCUGGAAUCGCUAGUAAUCGCCGGUCAGCCACACGGCGGUGAAUACGUUCUCGGGCCUUGUACACACCGCCCGUCACGUUAGGGAAGCUGAUUAUGCCUGAAGUCAUUGAUUUAACCUUUUGGGGAAAAAUGCCGAAGGCAGAGU